AGAGUUUGAUCAUGGCUCAGGAUGAACGCUGGCGGUCUGCUUAACACAUGCAAGUCGAACGGAGUAGAAAUACUUAGUGGCGGACGGGUGAGUAACGCGUGAGAAUCUGCCUUCAGGACGGAGACAACAGUUGGAAACGACUGCUAAGCCCCGAUGAACCGAAAGGGAAAAUAUUUAUAGCCUGAAGAUGAGCUCGCGUCCGAUUAGCUAGUUGGCGGAGUAAAAGCCCACCAAGGCGACGAUCGGUAGCUGGUCUGAGAGGAUGACCAGCCACACUGGGACUGAGACACGGCCCAGACUCCUACGGGAGGCAGCAGUGGGGAAUUUUCCGCAAUGGGCGAAAGCCUGACGGAGCAAGACCGCGUGAGGGAGGAAGGCCCUUGGGUUGUAAACCUCUUUUGUCAGGGAAGAACACAAUGACGGUACCUGACGAAUCAGCCUCGGCUAACUCCGUGCCAGCAGCCGCGGUAAUACGGAGGAGGCAAGCGUUAUUCGGAAUGAUUGGGCGUAAAGCGUCCGCAGGUGGCAGUUCAAGUCUGCUGUCAAAGACCGGGGCUUAACUUCGGAAAGGCAGUGGAAACUGAACAGCUAGAGUAUGGUAGGGGCAGAGGGAAUUCCUGGUGUAGCGGUGAAAUGCGUAGAGAUUGGGAAGAACACCCGUGGCGAAAGCGCUCUGCUGGACUGCAACUGACACUCAGGGACGAAAGCUAGGGGAGCGAAUGGGAUUAGAUACCCCCGUAGUCC
This 744-nucleotide ribosomal RNA is filed under the name uncultured cyanobacterium. RNAcentral describes it as "bacterial SSU rRNA". It matches the Rfam family "Bacterial small subunit ribosomal RNA", at positions 8 to 796 of the family's 1533-position model. Lineage: Bacteria; Bacillati; Cyanobacteriota. The record is from RNAcentral.